UAUGUGAUCGUCUCUCGCAUAUCAAUAAGCGGAGGAAAAGAAACUAACAAGGAUUCCCCUAGUAACGGCGAGUGAAGCGGGAAGAGCUCAAAUUUGAAAUCUUAAAGGGUUUCCCUUUACGAAUUGUAGUUUAAAGAAGUGUUUUCUGUUGAGGUUUUGGUAAAAGUUCUUUGGAAUAGGACAUCAUAGAGGGUGAGAAUCCCGUAUUUGACCUUUACUUUCAACUUUGUGAUACACUUUCAAAGAGUCGGAUUGUUUGGGAAUGCAGUCCAAAAUGGGUGGUAAAUUUCAUCUAAAGCUAAAUAUUGGCGAGAGACCGAUAGCGAACAAGUACCGUGAGGGAAAGAUGAAAAGAACUUUGAAAAGAGAGUUAAACAGUACGUGAAAUUGUCAAAAGGGAAGCGUUUGACACCAGUGUUGUUUUUCUGAAAAUCAAUUAAAGAACUGUUUAUGCUAAGUUGUUUAGACUUUAUCAGCUAACUGUUUAGUUUUGAGCUUUUCUUUAAUGCACUUUUCAGUUAACAAGUCAACAUCAAUUUCUUUUGCUGUACAAAAAGCUUGAGGAAGGUGGCUUGAGAUUCGUCUUAAGUGUUUAUAGCCUCUUGCCUAUGCAGUCGGAGAGAUUGAGGUCCUGCAGCGUAGAUCCUUCGGGGCUAAAUGCAUUUGUGCUAAGUUAUAGCAUUUUAUAGACAACUUGUUGACUAUGAUUUGUCUUGUAGCUUACUCGCUUAUGUUAUUUUACCUACGCUUAGGAUGUUGAUCUACAGAGCGAGAG
RNAcentral lists this ribosomal RNA (775 nucleotides) under uncultured Neocallimastigales. RNAcentral describes it as "partial large subunit ribosomal RNA". It matches the Rfam family "Eukaryotic large subunit ribosomal RNA", at positions 24 to 634 of the family's 3401-position model. The record is from RNAcentral. Lineage: Eukaryota; Fungi; Neocallimastigomycota; Neocallimastigomycetes; Neocallimastigales.